CAGAAACAAUGAUUUUAAUACAUGGGAAAAAUGUAUUGUUCCAAUAAAAGUGAUUUCAAGAAAUUGUGAUUAUUGUAAUUGCUCCCUCUAUGACACAUGAACAUUUAAUAUUUUGAUUGAUUUCUUUUUUGCUCAAGAUUGAAAUUAAGUAGAUUAUUAUGUAGCUCUAGUACAAUUAAAUCUACCUGUGACCUUGGUAGAUUUUUUUGUGGCGACCUUGCUACAACAAAAACGACAACUUCUAAUCAAGUUCAUUAUUUCUUGAAAAGCCCUUAUAUUAGUAUCUUUGAAUUUUAUUUCCAUAAUGAAUUGCAAAAUUUUUAGUUGAUAAAGAUAACAUAUUUUUUUCAUGUUUAUCUUCAUUUUUAAUACUC
Molecule: long non-coding RNA, 374 nt
Filed under: Mytilus galloprovincialis (Mediterranean mussel)
Lineage: Eukaryota; Metazoa; Mollusca; Bivalvia; Mytilida; Mytilidae
Source: RNAcentral